This is a non-coding RNA of Brachypodium distachyon (stiff brome), 93 nucleotides long. The record is from Rfam. Lineage: Eukaryota; Viridiplantae; Streptophyta; Magnoliopsida; Poales; Poaceae.
GUUGUACUCCCUCCGUCCCAAAAUAAGUGACGUCGAUUUGUAUAGAUUUACGUCACUUCCACGUCACUUAUUUUGGGACGGAGGGAGUAGAUU